This 1592-nucleotide long non-coding RNA is filed under the name Rattus norvegicus (Norway rat). Its description in RNAcentral is "long non-coding RNA NONRATT025801". Lineage: Eukaryota; Metazoa; Chordata; Mammalia; Rodentia; Muridae. The record is from RNAcentral.
CACGCGGGCGGAGGGCGCGACGCCGGCUGGGACCUUAGGAAGGCCAGCUCAGAUUCUCUUAAGACAGACUCUGGAGGCUAGUGACGACCGAGACGACCCCCAUCAGCCCCGCCUCUCUCCAGACACCAGCUGCGGAUAGCGGGGCAACCAGCUCUGGGACGCGCCCAACUUGGGGAGCGUGUCGCUCGCCGGGUGCGCGCUACUCGUCGGGCUAGCACCGGGCGCCCGGGCACACGCCGCCCCCGCCCCUGUGCGCCUGCGGCUCGCGUGUCCUCCCGGGCGCCGCACUCUUCCAGGCUAGCGGCGGCAGCUCUCUCAGCGGCUCGGCCAGGAGGACAGAGAGCGCUGGGGAGAGCGACUGAACAGGGGGGCAAGUUAGGGCUUCACCCAGCUCCCCGCACUCCAGCAGCUUUCGGUCUUCUGGGUGGGAUGUGGUCGCAAAAACAGUUGCGGCGGCGGCGGCAGCCCGGAAGGCGCUGGUGCCUUCCACCUCGCUGUGGGAGAGCAGAGGAUGGAGCAGAGGACCAAGGAAAGGACGGGAGUAAGCUAGCCGGAGGAAGUCCCACGGCCGCGGAGCAUCGGUCCUGAAGAAGCCUUCUCCACACUGGACACUUUAAGCAGUGGUGGCGGUAAAAGGCGUGAGGUUGCGGACUGGGCAGCAAGCCUUCCGCGUUCCGAUAUUGCUCUGCCCUCCAGAGAAGACAAGUGAAGAAGUGUCCGGCCCGGGCGUCCACUUCAGAUAACUAAAGCAGCACUUCCUGAGACAGAGGAAGGAAGGAGUUCCCUGCCUACCGCCCUUCAUCAUCCAUUCAGCGGUCUCCUCUGUCUGGUGUGUCUUGAUCACUAUUGGCCUCCGUUCUCUGGACUAAACGCUUAAACUGCUCCUGAAGUGGAGGUACUAAUGGGCCUCCAGCAAUCGUUCUUUUCCUGGUCUCAAGAUUUAAAUGCCUCACUUGAAGCCUGGAAAGGAGGGAAGCCAGGAUGUGAGCAUCUGACUUUGAAAAACGUCUCUGUCUUCUAACCCGUCUUCUUUUGCAUAGAGGAGUAGGAACAGUGCGCCACACAGAGACAUCGUUAAAGGCAAUGAAGCUUCAAAAAAUCUAAAUUCAGAUUGCCUUCUCUACAAUUAGAGUAGCUACCUUUCUCUGGCAAUGACAGUGUCACUCCAAUAGGAUGGUGACCAGGACAAGGGCAAUGACGACAGUAACAAAGAUAAUGGUCAAAAGAAUGGAGGGAGUGCAACUAGGCAGUGUCACGUGCACCUUUAAGAGAACCACCGUUUGCACUGCCGUUUCCUCCAAGUCUGUCAUGCUCAAGAGUGAAUCGCUGCAGCCCAUCUGUACAACACGGCGAUUGUUCCACAUGGCACCAUAUUCAAGCACAGCAGAUGAUACAGUUCCUGCAGUGAAGCUGCUUUCAGUAAUUCAUGCCUCUUCUCUGACGAGGACUCCAAGUGUUCUGUCUCAGAGUCUGCUCUACACCUUUCAACAGACCACAGUUUUCCCAGAAAGGAUCCGGAAUAUGUUUCCCAACUCACAUGUGUUGCGGUAAAAAAAAAAAAAUAAAAAAAUAAAAAAGAUCAUUUGCUAUCA